This 289-nucleotide ribosomal RNA is filed under the name uncultured bacterium. RNAcentral describes it as "partial 16S ribosomal RNA". It matches the Rfam family "Bacterial small subunit ribosomal RNA", at positions 62 to 354 of the family's 1533-position model. The record is from RNAcentral.
CCGGGACCCGGGACCGGCCGACCGGGUAGGGUAGGUAAACGGUACGGUACGUAGCAACUAGUACCUAUCAGAGGGGGAUAACCCGGCGAAAGUCGGACUAAUACCGCAUGAAGCAGGGGCCCCGCAUGGGGAUAUUUGCUAAAGAUUCAUCGCUGAUAGAUAGGCAUGCGUUCCAUUAGGCAGUUGGCGGGGUAACGGCCCACCAAACCGACGAUGGAUAGGGGUUCUGAGAGGAAGGUCCCCCACAUUGGUACUGAGACACGGACCAAACUCCUACGGAAGGCAGCAG